UAAGGAUCACCACCAAGGCAAUGAGUCUCACCAGACACUGCAACACUGGUGGUCUCCAUGGACUCCAAACAUGGAGGACUUCUCAUAGACAAACACACCUGGACAAAGAGGGAAGCUUUUGGUGUUCUGUUUUUUGUUUGCCAUCUAUUUUGUGGUCAUCUGAAAUGAAAGUGGAGUUGUUGUUGUUGUAAGAUGUUUUGUUCGGCGUAAGAAAAGAGGAGCAGUCAACUCCAGGAACAGCAUCUCCAGGGUGAAACAUCGUGGAGGGAAUGUUGUCCUUUAAGGUUUUUUUUUUUUUUUUUUUUUUAAACUAGUGGGCCAGAAAAAGUAAAUGUCACCAUGAGAAAAGACAGAGAUAAGGACUGCAUUAAGAUUCUGGAGGAAAACAUCAGAAAAACUUUUUCUCUUUUCCUUGGGCAUGGUUAACAUGGUUAAAUGAGAACGUUUUGGAGCGACCCAGCCAGAAACCUGACCCGAAUUCCAUCGAGAAUCUGUGGAAGGAACUGAACACCUGAGCGAUGGCAAGGAAAAAUUCAACCUCAAAGACCUGGAAAGAGUCACAAAAGUAGAGCUGUCCAAAAUGCCAGUGGAGUUAUUCAGAAAGCUUGUUUACGAUUCUGAAAACAAUUUGAUUACUCUGUGGAAAAUAACAGAUUUUCCAUUGACUACUGAGAAUAAUAACUGGCUGUGGCAUUUUUAGUAAAAAUGAAAAAGAAGAAAAGGAAAAAAAAAUAGCACAAAAAAAAGUCUCAUCAACCUCUAUGUCUUAGCAACUUCCCUCAAUUGUUUAUGUUGUCAAAAGAAACCAAUUGAUUAAAAAAAAAAAUAUCAUUCCAAAAUUAGAAUGGAAAUGAAUAAUUAUGGGUUUACUUACAGGUGAGGAGAAAAUUUGUCAAUAAUACAAUGAUUUUUAUUUGUUCAUAAUGCUGUUUCCAUUAUGACAGAUUUCCUGUUAAAGAAAUUAAUCAAGAUAGAUAAUAUAAUUAUUAAACUAAAAGCCACUGCAGCUAAUCUCCACAAAGACUUUGAUUACUGUCGUGUGCUCAGCAAACAGUCAGACGCUCAUCAUACAGGAUGUGAAGACAAGAUCACUCACAACAGGAUGCUGUUUACAGCCUGAUUAAAAUGUGAGGUUGCAGAUAUGGAGCUAUUGUGAAAAAUGUUCCCUGCUUUUGUGAAAUCAAUUAUUAUCCCUCUAAAAAAACACACCAUAGUAACCAAAUGCUUAAAAAAAAAAAAAAAAUAAGAAAAAGAAAAUGCAAACACGCAAACC
This is a long non-coding RNA of Amphiprion ocellaris (clown anemonefish), 1273 nucleotides long. The record is from Ensembl. Lineage: Eukaryota; Metazoa; Chordata; Actinopteri; Pomacentridae.